RNAcentral lists this ribosomal RNA (428 nucleotides) under uncultured bacterium. RNAcentral's name for it is "partial 16S ribosomal RNA". It matches the Rfam family "Bacterial small subunit ribosomal RNA", at positions 354 to 796 of the family's 1533-position model. The record is from RNAcentral.
GUAGGGAAUAUUGCGCAAUGGACGAAAGUCUGACGCAGCGACGCCGCGUGAGUGAUGAAGGCCUUAGGGUCGUAAAGCUCUGUUGAAUGGGAAGAAAAAAAUGACGGUACCAUUCGAGGAAGGACCGGCUAACUUCGUGCCAGCAGCCGCGGUAAUACGAGGGGUCCUAGCGUUGUUCGGAAUCAUUGGGCGUAAAGGGUGUGUAGGUGGCCAUGUAAGUCAGGUGUGAAAGCCCCGGGCUCGACCCGGGAAGUGCACUUGAUACUGCGUGGCUUGAGUACCGAAGAGGGUAGUGGAAUUCCAGGUGUAGUGGUGAAAUACGUAGAUAUCUGGAGGAACACCGGUGGCGAAGGCGGCUACCUGGUCGAGUACUGACACUGAGACACGAAAGCAUGGGGAUCAAACAGGAUUAGAUACCCCGGUAGUCC